UAGGGAAUAUUGGUCAAUGGGUGAGAGCCUGAACCAGCCAUGCCGCGUGCAGGAAGACGGCCUUCUGGGUUGUAAACUGCUUUUAUCUGGGGAUAAAAAGCCCAUGCGUGGGACAUUGAAGGUACCAGAUGAAUAAGCACCGGCUAACUACGUGCCAGCAGCCGCGGUAAUACGUAGGGUGCAAGCGUUGUCCGGAUUUAUGGGUUUAAAGGGUGCGUAGGCGGUCUAUUAAGUCAGUGGUGAAAUCCAACAGCUCAACUGUUGAUGUGCCAAUGAUACUGAUGGACUUGAGUACAGACGAGGUAGGCGGAAUUGACAGUGUAGCGGUGAAAUGCAUAGAUAUUGUCAAGAACACCGAUAGCGAAGGCAGCUUGCUAGCCUGUAACUGACGCUGAGGCACGA
Molecule: ribosomal RNA, 402 nt
Filed under: uncultured bacterium
Lineage: Bacteria
Description: bacterial SSU rRNA
Rfam family: Bacterial small subunit ribosomal RNA
Source: RNAcentral